Molecule: long non-coding RNA, 855 nt
Filed under: Daphnia magna
Lineage: Eukaryota; Metazoa; Arthropoda; Branchiopoda; Diplostraca; Daphniidae
Description: uncharacterized LOC116926596, transcript variant X3
Source: RNAcentral
ACGUUUUCCACUUUCCACAAUUUCUUCACAAGUUUUACACUUCUGUACGAAACGUCCUAGUGUAAGUAGUAAAAAGUAAUGGAAGUAACAUUUGGAUUUAACAAGCAAUUUAAGCUUUAAUUAGUCAUUGUCUUAUGAUCAACAAACACCACAGCCAUUUCUUAAAAGUCAAACAGUCAUUAUGCAAGCCCUGGAUGAAUUAGAAUGUUGUGGCUUCUUGGUCAGCUGAUUUGUGUUGGCUAUUCUUCGGGUGUUAACAGGUUGUAUUUGAAUUAAAACAAAACUUUAGGCAAUUCACAAAUUGAUGACCAAUGUGUCCACCUGGGUCAUAUUGGUAGAAGAGUGAUGGCACAUCCUAAAACAAUAAACACCAACAUGAUCUGACGAUCUGCUAUGAGACUUUCGGUUUGAAUUCAUAAAGAGUCCCAAGCAAAUACCAAAGUAUUGUCACAUUGAUUAAUGAUUUUGGCAAAUUGGGGGAGAUUUUUGGUUAAGGCCAGAUGCCCUAAAAAUUAUGAUGGUUGUAAACACACGGGAAUAUAUUCCAUAAUUAAUUGUCGGAUAUCACAUUCCGUGAUCGACUUUUGCAAACUAACCACAAAAGAUGUCAUGUAACUACAGUAUAUUUCCCUGUGUCAGAAAUAGAAGACGGAAAGCGAUACUUCGUUUGUGAAGAAAGCCAUUCGCACUUCAUCGCAUUUCAUCGCAUCUGCUCCGUCCCGAAGAUACAAUAUUUAAAUUUGUAUAAAUUAAAGUGCAUAUCUGGGCUCCCUUCUUUUCUGUGGCCCCGUUUCCCCUUGACUCGUAAUAAGCCCGUAGGGGGUCAUGCCCCUACUGUGAUCAGCAGUAAAGGUU